UCCCAAGGGUAUGGCUGUUCGCCAUUUAAAGUGGUACGCGAGCUGGGUUUAGAACGUCGUGAGACAGUUCGGUCCCUAUCUGCCGUGGGCGCUGGAGAACUGAGGGGGGCUGCUCCUAGUACGAGAGGACCGGAGUGGACGCAUCACUGGUGUUCGGGUUGUCAUGCCAAUGGCACUGCCCGGUAGCUAAAUGCGGAAGAGAUAAGUGCUGAAAGCAUCUAAGCACGAAACUUGCCCCGAGAUGAGUUCUCCCUGAGACUUAGAGUCUCCUGAAGGAACGUUGAAGACGACGACGUUGAUAGGCCGGGUGUGUAAGCGCAGCGAUGCGUUGAGCUAACCGGUACUAAUGAACCGUGAGGCUUAACCUUAC
This 370-nucleotide ribosomal RNA is filed under the name Salmonella enterica subsp. enterica serovar Agona str. SA-1. Its description in RNAcentral is "bacterial LSU rRNA". It matches the Rfam family "Bacterial large subunit ribosomal RNA", at positions 2563 to 2925 of the family's 2925-position model. The record is from RNAcentral. Lineage: Bacteria; Pseudomonadati; Pseudomonadota; Gammaproteobacteria; Enterobacterales; Enterobacteriaceae.